Molecule: ribosomal RNA, 468 nt
Filed under: uncultured bacterium
Lineage: Bacteria
Description: partial 16S ribosomal RNA
Rfam family: Bacterial small subunit ribosomal RNA
Source: RNAcentral
GACGAACGCUGGCGGCGUGCUUAACACAUGCAAGUCGAACGGAAAGGCCCUGCUUUUGUGGGGUGCUCGAGUGGCGAACGGGUGAGUAACACGUGAGUAACCUGCCCUUGACUUUGGGAUAACUUCAGGAAACUGGGGCUAAUACCGGAUAGGAGCUCCUGCUGCAUGGUGGGGGUUGGAAAGUUUCGGCGGUUGGGGAUGGACGCGCGGCUUAUCAGCUUGUUGGUGGGGUAGUGGCUUACCAAGGCUUUGACGGGUAGCCGGCCUGAGAGGGUGACCGGCCACCUUGGGACUGAGAUACGGCCCAGACUCCUACGGGAGGCAGCAGUGGGGAAUAUUGCACAAUGGGCGGAAGCCUGAUGCAGCAACGCCGCGUGCGUGAUGACGGCCUUCGGGUUGUAAACCGCUUUCGCCUGUGACGAAGCGUGAGUGACGGUAAUGGGUAAAGAAGCACCGGCUAACUACGUG